Molecule: long non-coding RNA, 1402 nt
Filed under: Gossypium barbadense (sea-island cotton)
Lineage: Eukaryota; Viridiplantae; Streptophyta; Magnoliopsida; Malvales; Malvaceae
Description: long non-coding RNA (GBAR_LNC016191)
Source: RNAcentral
UGGUUGAGUUGGAGAUCAUGCAGACAGCUCUCUGAACCUUGGCAAGGUCCCCUCCUGGAACAACAGUUGGUGGCUGGUAGUUGAUACCGCACUUGAAUCCAGUAGGGCACCAAUCCACAAAUUGGAUUGUGCGUUUGGUCUUGAUGGUGGCCACAGCCGCAUUCACAUCUUUGGGCACAACAUCUCCUCGGUACAUAAGGCAGCAAGCCAUGUACUUCCCAUGGCGUGGGUCACAUUUGGCCAUCAUUGAAGAGGGUUCAAAAGCACUGUUGGUUAUCUCAGCCACCGAUAGCUGCUCAUGGUAAGCCUUCUCAGCUGAAAUGACAGGGGCAUAAGAAGAAAGCAUAAAGUGGAUCCUGGGAUAUGGGACCAGGUUAGUCUGGAACUCAGUCACAUCCACAUUCAGGGCUCCAUCAAACCUCAAAGAUGCGGUAAGAGAUGAGAUAACCUGAAUCAUACAUGCCAAAACACCACAUGUAUGAACAACAAUCAUUAAAUUUCAUAACAUAAAGACGAGUAUUUUAGUAAAAAUGCUUAUAGUUACCUGAGAGACAAGGCGGUUAAGAUUCGUAUAAGUGGGUCGUUCAAUGUCCAAAGAACGCCUGCAGAUGUCAUAUAUUGCUUCGUUAUCGAGAAGAACAGCGACAUCAGUGUGCUCAAGGAGUGAAUGAGUGGACAGCACACUGUUGUAAGGCUCUACAACUGAUGUAGAAACCUGAGGUGAAGGAUAGACGGUGAAACCAAGCUUCGACUUCUUUCCAUAGUCAACAGAGAGACGCUCCAAGAGAAGAGAUCCAAGACCAGAACCAGUACCACCACCAACAGCAUUGAAAACCAAGAAGCCUUGGAGCCCAGUACAGUUAUCAGCAAGCUUUCGGAUACGAUCCAAGCAGAGAUCAACAAUCUCUUUGCCAAUUGUAUAAUGGCCACGAGCGAAAUUGUUGGCAGCAUCUUCUUUGCCACUGAUGAGUUGCUCAGGGUGGAAUAACUGGCGGUACGUACCAGUCCUCACUUCAUCGAUAACAGUAGGCUCCAGAUCAACAAAGAUGGCGCGAGGGACGUGCUUCCCGGCACCAGUUUCGCUGAAAAAGGUGUUGAAAGCAUCGUCUCCUCCACCAACAGUCUUAUCACUUGGCAUUUGGCCAUCAGGCUGAAAAUCGAAAAUUCUAAAAGAUCACCACCAUUAUCCACAUUCAAAACCUUAGAUCUCGCCUAAAUUAUCUAUAGAACUGAAAUCGUUCAGCUAACAUUUCAAUUAAUCCAGAUCUAUCCAUUUUUAACGAGUCCGAUCACAAUUUACAACAACAGAAACACAAUUAAUAAAUUUAAACAUAGUCAAACCAAAUCACAAUGUUAAAAUAAUUAAAAAGGGAAAAAAAAUGAAUCUAACAGCAAAAUAAAU